UCAUAGCUCAGCUGGAUAGAGUGUUUGGCUACGAACCAAAAGGUCGCAGGUUCGAAUCCUGCUGG
Molecule: transfer RNA, 65 nt
Filed under: pig gut metagenome
Rfam family: tRNA
About the family: Transfer RNA (tRNA) molecules are approximately 80 nucleotides in length. Their secondary structure includes four short double-helical elements and three loops (D, anti-codon, and T loops). Further hydrogen bonds mediate the characteristic L-shaped molecular structure. tRNAs have two regions of fundamental functional importance: the anti-codon, which is responsible for specific mRNA codon recognition, and the 3' end, to which the tRNAs corresponding amino acid is attached (by aminoacyl-tRNA synthetases). tRNAs cope with the degeneracy of the genetic code in two manners: having more than one tRNA (with a specific anti-codon) for a particular amino acid; and 'wobble' base-pairing, i.e. permitting non-standard base-pairing at the 3rd anti-codon position.
Source: RNAcentral